Molecule: ribosomal RNA, 601 nt
Filed under: uncultured bacterium
Lineage: Bacteria
Description: bacterial SSU rRNA
Rfam family: Bacterial small subunit ribosomal RNA
Source: RNAcentral
GGCCUUUACUGACGCUAAAGCUCGAAGGUGCGGGUAUCGAACAGGAUUAGAUACCCUGGUAGUCCGCACGGUAAACGAUGGAUGCCCGCUGUUUGCGAUAUACAGUAAGCGGCCAAGAGAAAUCGUUAAGCAUCCCACCUGGGGAGUACGCCGGCAACGGUGAAACUCAAAGGAAUUGACGGGGGCCCGCACAAGCGGAGGAACAUGUGGUUUAAUUCGAUGAUACGCGAGGAACCUUACCCGGGCUUGAACUGCAGCGGAAGGAAACAGAGAUGUUGACGUCCUUCGGGACCGCUGUGGAGGUGCUGCAUGGUUGUCGUCAGCUCGUGCCGUGAGGUGUCGGCUUAAGUGCCAUAACGAGCGCAACCCUUUUCAUCAGUUGCCAUCAGGUGAUGCUGGGCACUCUGUUGAUACUGCCACCGUAAGGUGUGAGGAAGGUGGGGAUGACGUCAAAUCAGCACGGCCCUUACGUCCGGGGCUACACACGUGUUACAAUGGGGCAUACAGAAGGCAGGAUCAUGGCAACAUGUUUCAAAUCUUUAAAGUGCUCCUCAGUUCGGAUUGGGGUCUGCAACCCGACCCCAUGAAGCUGGAUUCGCUA